Molecule: ribosomal RNA, 564 nt
Filed under: Streptomyces sp. 337B06
Lineage: Bacteria; Bacillati; Actinomycetota; Actinomycetes; Kitasatosporales; Streptomycetaceae
Description: bacterial SSU rRNA
Rfam family: Bacterial small subunit ribosomal RNA
Source: RNAcentral
UAGUGGCGAACGGGUGAGUAACACGUGGGCAAUCUGCCCUUCACUCUGGGACAAGCCCUGGAAACGGGGUCUAAUACCGGAUAACACUUCCUGCCGCAUGGCGGGGGGUUAAAAGCUCCGGCGGUGAAGGAUGAGCCCGCGGCCUAUCAGCUUGUUGGUGGGGUGAUGGCCUACCAAGGCGACGACGGGUAGCCGGCCUGAGAGGGCGACCGGCCACACUGGGACUGAGACACGGCCCAGACUCCUACGGGAGGCAGCAGUGGGGAAUAUUGCACAAUGGGCGAAAGCCUGAUGCAGCGACGCCGCGUGAGGGAUGACGGCCUUCGGGUUGUAAACCUCUUUCAGCAGGGAAGAAGCGAAAGUGACGGUACCUGCAGAAGAAGCGCCGGCUAACUACGUGCCAGCAGCCGCGGUAAUACGUAGGGCGCAAGCGUUGUCCGGAAUUAUUGGGCGUAAAGAGCUCGUAGGCGGCUUGUCACGUCGGAUGUGAAAGCCCGGGGCUUAACCCCGGGUCUGCAUUCGAUACGGGCUAGCUAGAGUGUGGUAGGGGAGAUCGGAAUUCCU